GACGAACGCUGGCGGCGUGCUUAACACAUGCAAGUCGAACGGAAAGGGCCGGGUUUGGUUGUGUGCUCGAGUUGCGAACGGGUGAGUAACACGUGAGUAACCUGCCCGGUAGUUUGGGAUAACUUCAGGAAACUGUGGCUAAUACCGCAUAAGAGUACCUGCUGCAUGGUGUUGGUUGGAAAGGUUCGGUGGCUGGGGAAGGAGGUGAGGCUUAUCCGCUUGUUGUUGGGGUUGUGGUUUAGAAAGGCCUUGACGGGUAGCCGGACUGGGAGGGAGACAGGCCACAGUGGGACUGGGGUGCGGGCCAGAGUGCUACGGGAGGCAGCGGUGGGAAAUAUUGCAAGAUGGGCGGCAGCAGGAAGCAGCAACGCCGCGUGCGGGAUGACGGCCUUCGGGUUGUAACGCGCUUUAGCCUGUGAAGAAGAGAGAGUGACGGUAAUGGAUAAAGAAGCAACGGCUAACUACGUG
RNAcentral lists this ribosomal RNA (468 nucleotides) under uncultured bacterium. RNAcentral describes it as "partial 16S ribosomal RNA". It matches the Rfam family "Bacterial small subunit ribosomal RNA", at positions 28 to 507 of the family's 1533-position model. The record is from RNAcentral.